UACGUAGGGGGCAAGCGUUGUUCGGAAUGACUGGGCGUAAAGGGUGCGUAGGCGGUGUAGCAAGUUAGAAGUGAAAUACCUAGAGCUUAACUCAGGUGCUGCUUCUAAAACUGCUAUACUUGAGUGCAGUAGAGGAAAGUGGGAUUCCUAGUGUAGCGGUGGAAUGCGUAGAUAUUAGGAGGAACAUCAGUGGCGAAGGCGACUUUCUGGACUGUAACUGACGCUGAGGCACGAAAGUGUGGGGAGCAAACAGG
Molecule: ribosomal RNA, 254 nt
Filed under: uncultured bacterium
Lineage: Bacteria
Description: partial 16S ribosomal RNA
Rfam family: Bacterial small subunit ribosomal RNA
Source: RNAcentral